GAUGAACGCUGGCGGCGUGCCUAAUACAUGCAAGUCGAGCGAACAGACGAGGAGCUUGCUUCUCUGACGUUAGCGGCGGACGGGUGAGUAACACGUGGAUAACCUACCUAUAAGACUGGGAUAACUUCGGGAAACCGGAGCUAAUACCGGAUAAUAUAUUGAACCGCAUGGUUCAAUAGUGAAAGACGGCUUUGCUGUCACUUAUAGAUGGAUCCGCGCCGCAUUAGCUAGUUGGUAAGGUAACGGCUUACCAAGGCUACGAGGCGUAGCCGACCUGAGAGGGUGAUCGGCCACACUGGAACUGAGACACGGUCCAGACUCCUACGGGAGGCAGCAGUAGGGAAUCUUCCGCAAUGGGCGAAAGCCUGACGGAGCAACGCCGCGUGAGUGAUGAAGGUCUUCGGAUCGUAAAACUCUGUUAUUAGGGAAGAACAAAUGUGUAAGUAACUAUGCACGUCUUGACGGUACCUAAUCAGAAAGCCACGGCUAACUACGUG
RNAcentral lists this ribosomal RNA (497 nucleotides) under uncultured bacterium. Its description in RNAcentral is "partial 16S ribosomal RNA". It matches the Rfam family "Bacterial small subunit ribosomal RNA", at positions 28 to 507 of the family's 1533-position model. The record is from RNAcentral.